Molecule: long non-coding RNA, 661 nt
Filed under: Vigna radiata
Lineage: Eukaryota; Viridiplantae; Streptophyta; Magnoliopsida; Fabales; Fabaceae
Description: long non-coding RNA (VRAD_LNC003436)
Source: RNAcentral
AGGAGCGUCACAAAAAACAGGCCCAAGCCCAGCGGACAACCGCCCAGCGGCGCACUUAUGACGCCCGACGGUUUGCCUCUAAUCGUGCCACCGCCCGGCGGUAGGGGGCCACUGCCCGGCAGUUUGCCUCUUAUCGCCAUGAAAUUGAAACCCAUAAAAGCGAAAAAAAUCAAGACGAAUAUACUUUACCGCCAUGAUUUUCCUUUCCUGCCAGGAGUUAAUGAAAUCUGCAUGUUUCUCUUGAUCUGAGAUCCAUCCAUCUAUGUUGGCAAGUCGUGGUUGAGAGGAGGAAGAAGCUCCAGCUGUUUUGCGACGAUACCUUCUUGGUUCAGCCAUGGAUGAAGAUGGAGAAGAUGAAGGUUUAUGAAGUGAUAGAGAAAUGAAGAGAUUUUGAGCUCUGGAUUUGAUUUUAGCAGUAUUGGGUUGCAAAGAAGUGUCUAAUAAUCGAUUAUGGGGGGCUAUUUAUAAGAAAAAUGGAAAAACUAGCCGUUUAUAGCCGUUAUGAGACGCUCCAACGGCUCUAUUUUUGAAACUGUUAGCGUGAUAAUCGAUUAUGGCUUGUGAUAAUCGAUUAUCAGUUCAUUAAUCUCUGCCCAGAAUUGCAUGAUAAUCGAUUAUGCCUGAUGAUAAUCGAUUAUCUGCUCAAAGUUUUCCAGAAUUG